AAUGAACGCUAGCGGGAGGCCUAACACAUGCAAGCCGAGCGGUAUUGUUUCUUCGGAAAUGAGAGAGCGGCGUACGGGUGCGUAACACGUGUGCAACCUGCCUUUAUCUGGGGGAUAGCCUUUCGAAAGGAAGAUUAAUACUCCAUAAUAUAUUGAACGGCAUCGUUUAAUAUUGAAAGCUCCGGCGGAUAAAGAUGGGCACGCGCAAGAUUAGCUAGUUGGUGAGGUAACGGCUCACCAAGGCGAUGAUCUUUAGGGGGCCUGAGAGGGUGAUCCCCCACACUGGUACUGAGACACGGACCAGACUCCUACGGGAGGCAGCAGUGAGGAAUAUUGGUCAAUGGGUGCAAGCCUGAACCAGCCAUCCCGCGUGAAGGACGACUGCCCUAUGGGUUGUAAACUUCUUUUGUAUAGGGAUAAACCUACCCUCGUGAGGGUAGCUGAAGGUACUAUACGAAUAAGCACCGGCUAACUCCGUGCCAGCAGCCGCGGUAA
This 495-nucleotide ribosomal RNA is filed under the name uncultured bacterium. RNAcentral describes it as "partial 16S ribosomal RNA". It matches the Rfam family "Bacterial small subunit ribosomal RNA", at positions 29 to 523 of the family's 1533-position model. The record is from RNAcentral.